Molecule: transfer RNA, 65 nt
Filed under: Trogon melanurus (black-tailed trogon)
Lineage: Eukaryota; Metazoa; Chordata; Aves; Trogoniformes; Trogonidae
Description: tRNA-Ser
Source: RNAcentral
AAGGGGGGUUUAACCAGCGAAAACUGCUAAUUCUCGCAUCUGAGUUUAAAACCUCAGCCUCCUUA